Molecule: transfer RNA, 73 nt
Filed under: Ailuropoda melanoleuca (giant panda)
Lineage: Eukaryota; Metazoa; Chordata; Mammalia; Carnivora; Ursidae
Rfam family: tRNA
About the family: Transfer RNA (tRNA) molecules are approximately 80 nucleotides in length.
Source: Rfam by way of RNAcentral
GCCUGGCUGGCUCAGUGGGUAGAGCACAUGACUCUUGAUCUUGGGGUUGUGAGUUCGAGCCCCACGUUGGGUG